UACGUAGGGUGCAAGCGUUAAUCGGAAUUACUGGGCGUAAAGCGUGCGCAGGCGGUGAUGUAAGACAGAUGUGGAAUCCCCGGGCUUAACCUGGGAACUGCAUUUGUGACUGCAUCGCUGGAGUGCGGCAGAGGGGGAUGGAAUUCCGCGUGUAGCAGUGAAAUGCGUAGAUAUGCGGAGGAACACCGAUGGCGAAGGCAAUCCCCUGGGCCUGCACUGACGCUCAUGCACGAAAGCGUGGGGAGCAAACAGG
RNAcentral lists this ribosomal RNA (253 nucleotides) under uncultured bacterium. Its description in RNAcentral is "partial 16S ribosomal RNA". It matches the Rfam family "Bacterial small subunit ribosomal RNA", at positions 524 to 776 of the family's 1533-position model. The record is from RNAcentral.